UACCAGACUCCUACGGGAGGCAGCAGUGGGGAAUAUUGCACAAUGGGGGAAACCCUGAUGCAGCAACGCCGCGUGAGUGAAGAAGUAUUUCGGUAUGUAAAGCUCUAUCAGCAGGGAAGAGAAUGACGGUACCUGACUAAGAAGCCCCGGCUGACUACGUGCCAGCAGCCGCGGUAAUACGUAGGGGGCGAGCGUUAUCCGGAUUCACUGGGUGUAAAGGGAGCGUAGACGGCCAAGCAAGCCAGGGGUGAAAGCCCGGGGCCCAACCCCGGGACUGCCCUUGGAACUGCAUGGCUGGAGUGCGGGAGGGGCAGGCGGAAUUCCUGGUGUAGCGGUGAAAUGCGUAGAUAUCAGGAGGAACACCGGCGGCGAAGGCGGCCUGCUGGACCGCGACUGACGUUGAGGCUCGAGAGCGUGGGGAGCAAACAGGAUUAGAUACCCUGGUA
RNAcentral lists this ribosomal RNA (446 nucleotides) under uncultured bacterium. RNAcentral's name for it is "bacterial SSU rRNA". It matches the Rfam family "Bacterial small subunit ribosomal RNA", at positions 329 to 792 of the family's 1533-position model. The record is from RNAcentral.